AACGCGAAGAACCUUACCAAGGCUUGACAUAUAGCGAAAAGUGGCAGAGAUGUCAUGUCCGCAAGGGCGCUAUACAGGUGGUGCAUGGUUGUCGUCAGCUCGUGUCGUGAGAUGUUGGGUUAAGUCCCGCAACGAGCGCAACCCUCGUUCUGUGUUGCCAGCAUUAAGUUGGGGACUCACAGGAGACUGCCGGGGUCAACUCGGAGGAAGGUGGGGAUGACGUCAAAUCAUCAUGCCCCUUAUGUCUUGGGCUGCACGCAUGCUACAAUGGCCGGUACAAAGUGCUGCGAAAUCGUAAGAUUUAGCGAAUCACAUAAAGCCGGUCUCAGUUCGGAUUGAGGUCUGCAACUCGACCUCAUGAAGUCGGAGUUGCUAGUAAUCGUAGAUCAGCAACGCUACGGUGAAUACGUUCCCGGGUCUUGUACACACCG
This 431-nucleotide ribosomal RNA is filed under the name uncultured bacterium. Its description in RNAcentral is "bacterial SSU rRNA". It matches the Rfam family "Bacterial small subunit ribosomal RNA", at positions 958 to 1392 of the family's 1533-position model. The record is from RNAcentral.